This is a non-coding RNA of Potamilus streckersoni, 71 nucleotides long. The record is from the annotation of a GenBank genome assembly. Lineage: Eukaryota; Metazoa; Mollusca; Bivalvia; Unionida; Unionidae.
GACGGUGGUCUAGUGGUUACAGCGUCCGCCUCGAAAGCGGUAGGUCGUGGGUUCAAUCUCCGAUCGAGUCA